AAUCCAUGGUGAGGACACCUUUGUAGUGGGUCCUUGUAUCUCUCCCAUGCUUCGUAAAGGAUUUCUAAGUCCAUCUGCACAAACGAAGAGAUAUCAUUAUGUAAUU
Molecule: non-coding RNA, 106 nt
Organism: Gossypium hirsutum (cotton)
Lineage: Eukaryota; Viridiplantae; Streptophyta; Magnoliopsida; Malvales; Malvaceae
Source: Rfam